Molecule: transfer RNA, 61 nt
Filed under: Thrips hawaiiensis
Lineage: Eukaryota; Metazoa; Arthropoda; Insecta; Thysanoptera; Thripidae
Description: tRNA-Ser
Source: RNAcentral
AAGAUAUUGUAUAAAUUUUAAGCUUCUAACUUAAAAAUAGUCCUACAAGACUAAUAUCUUG